This 497-nucleotide ribosomal RNA is filed under the name uncultured bacterium. RNAcentral describes it as "partial 16S ribosomal RNA". It matches the Rfam family "Bacterial small subunit ribosomal RNA", at positions 28 to 507 of the family's 1533-position model. The record is from RNAcentral.
GAGGAAAGAGGGAGGUGUGAAUAAUACAUGCAAGUCGAGCGAACGGACGAGAAGCUUGCUUUUCUGAUGUUAGCGGCGGACGGGUGAGUAACACGUGGAUAACCUACCUAUAAGACUGGGAUAACUUCGGGAAACCGGAGCUAAUACCGGAUAAUAUUUUGAACCGCAUGGUUCAAAAGUGAAAGACGGUCUUGCUGUCACUUAUAGAUGGAUCCGCGCUGCAUUAGCUAGUUGGUAAGGUAACGGCUUACCAAGGCAACGAUGCAUAGCCGACCUGAGAGGGUGAUCGGCCACACUGGAACUGAGACACGGUCCAGACUCCUACGGGAGGCAGCAGUAGGGAAUCUUCCGCAAUGGGCGAAAGCCUGACGGAGCAACGCCGCGUGAGUGAUGAAGGUCUUCGGAUCGUAAAACUCUGUUAUUAGGGAAGAACAUAUGUGUAAGUAACUGUGCACAUCUUGACGGUACCUAAUCAGAAAGCCACGGCUAACUACGUG